UUUUUCCCUCUAGUGUUUUAAAAGGCAGCAGACACACAGUUACCUGAAGUAUUUUUUGGUCUCAUCUAACACCUAGGAAAACCCAGGCUACACUUCACUGAAAUCAAUGGAGACAGACCCGUGCAAAGAGGGAAAUAAUGCUUUUAGUAUUUGGAUGUGUCUAAGGGUUGUGUUUAACCACAGCUGUUUUACUAGACUGUGACUGAACAAGCCUAAUUUUACCUGCUUACUAUGUUCAGUACAACGUACUGCCUUUGUGCACCUACAUUUGGAAAAUAAAUUACUUUUACUUAAACACUGUCCUGUUCAAUAUCUGAAGCUGGCUGAGGAAAUUCCUUCCAUCAUUAGUACCUCCUGCAUUGUCAUUAGCCACUGCUCAAUCUUUUUCAGUCUUGACACCUUUAAAUUUUACCUUUCUGCAGCUCCAGUCCCCUGUUAGGCUGUCUGUUCCCCACUGGAUGGCAGUCCCUGCAAUGUUAUUCACUCUGGGAAGGAAAGUCCAGCUUUGAAGCAGCAAGCUGAAAUCUCAGACUGCUCUGUAGAUGAAUAUGUACGUGAAAUGCCACAGCUGCAAAAUGAGAAGUUCACUAAGUGUUUUGCCCGAAUAAAGACAGGAAAAAGGUGCCCAGACAGUGAAUUCACUCGCACACCACCUGGAUCAGCCACCCAAAGGCAAAAUGGUAAUUCCCUUCACAGCCCCAUGUGUAUCCAGGGUAAUUUCAGAAACCUGUAGCACCAUCCUAGCCUAACAGGAACCCAACUUUGCUGCUCUGUGAAUCGAGGAAACCUCUAAAUGGAACAUGGUUCAUUGAAAGUGAAAUUUCCUUGGUGCCAUCUUUGAGUCAUGGGUACCUCCUCUUCAACAUCAUCUGCAAAAUUCUGUGCAAGGCAACAACUUAUUUAAUGUUGCAUGAUAUAAGCAUAGAGGAGAGACUGCAACUGGGAUGUUGACACUGCUGUUGCAGAUUGUACAGGAAGUAAAUUAUGCAGACAUAGAUACUUAAUGCAGCAGUAAUAAUGUUAGUUAGAAAGCCUCACUUUGAAUUUGAAAAGAAAAUAGAAGACACCAGAGUAAGGAGAUUGGCCAAAAGACCCUAUCAACUGUUAGUCUGUGUAAGCCAGAGUCCUAUUAGUCUCCAGCUAUGCUUCUGAGUCAGCUUGCUGGAUUAGGAGUGCCAGAUCCUGCUUUGCCUCUUAGUGCAUGUCAAUAUUGGAACAAGCCAUAAAAAGGCAGGUUCUGUUUCACAAAUACCUCCGAGUCUUUCAAAACUUCUGAAACCUUCUGAAACUUGUAACCAGCUAUGGCUGUUGAAACCUCUGCUUGCAGAGUGGAAAGGUCAGUCUCUCUAUUUAAGUGUAUCUCUUUUAUGUACACUGGACUUGCAAAAUCUAGUCAAAAACGUUGAAACUGAUAAUUUGAACAAAUGUGUUUGGUUUGACAAAGCAGUUUCUGAAGUAAAAUCUAUUCUUUAAACAGUCUUGCUGUAGUUCCAACAUAAUAAUAAGGCAGCUAAGAGGCAUGGCUCUCUCAUUUAAAGAGUCCUGCACAGAACAGGAUUUUUGUAGUGACUCCUUCUCACCACAUCUCAGUCCAAUGUGUCUCUCUGUGGGCCUGGAACUGGUUGUGUGGUUUUGGAACUGUUUUGAUCAGAAAUUUUAUUGGCAGGUCAUUCCUGCAUGAGGGCUGUUGAUGUACCUCUGCCCUGUACCUUAUGGAACUAUUAUUAAACUCUUUUCAGACAAGACACGGGCUUUUACUCUCCUGGUAAUUACGUUCCUAGU
RNAcentral lists this long non-coding RNA (1782 nucleotides) under Parus major (Great Tit). RNAcentral describes it as "lncRNA (ENSPMJG00000010083.1)". The record is from RNAcentral. Lineage: Eukaryota; Metazoa; Chordata; Aves; Passeriformes; Paridae.